CACGUAGGGCGCAAGCGUUGUCCGGAAUUAUUGGGCGUAAAGAGCUCGUAGGCGGUCUGUUGCGUCCGCUGUGAAAACUCGGGGCUUAACCCCGAGCCUGCAGUGGAUACGGGCAGACUAGAGGUAGGUAGGGGAGAGUGGAAUUCCCGGUGUAGCGGUGAAAUGCGCAGAUAUCGGGAGGAACACCGGUGGCGAAGGCGGUUCUCUGGGCCUUACCUGACGCUGAGGAGCGAAAGCGUGGGGAGCGAACAGG
This 253-nucleotide ribosomal RNA is filed under the name uncultured bacterium. RNAcentral describes it as "partial 16S ribosomal RNA". It matches the Rfam family "Bacterial small subunit ribosomal RNA", at positions 524 to 776 of the family's 1533-position model. The record is from RNAcentral.